AGGGUUAUAGCUCAGUGGUAGAGCACAUGCUUAGAAUGCAUGAGGUCCUGGGUUCAAUCCUCGGUACCUCCA
Molecule: transfer RNA, 72 nt
Filed under: Camelus bactrianus (Bactrian camel)
Lineage: Eukaryota; Metazoa; Chordata; Mammalia; Artiodactyla; Camelidae
Also listed under: 2 other names
Rfam family: tRNA
About the family: Transfer RNA (tRNA) molecules are approximately 80 nucleotides in length. Their secondary structure includes four short double-helical elements and three loops (D, anti-codon, and T loops).
Source: Rfam by way of RNAcentral